UUGACAAAGCCAACAUUUUGAGAGAGAACUCAAUAAGAGAAGUAAUAAACCGAAGUUAAGUCAAGGAUCGAUGGAGAAGAAGCUUAUGAUCUUGUUGUGCAUCAUCUUCUUGGUGGAGGUGUUUUCAAUUCUUGGGGGAGUUGAUUGCAGAGCAUUGCGAACAGAGCAAACGACCGGCUGUGAUCAAACGACCGGCUGUGAUCAAACGACCGCCACCGUAGAGAGUGGUGGUUUUGGCGUUUUCUCGGGGGCGGCGAACGGUUCGAGAGACCAUCUUUUGAUGAGGAGCUUGGCUUUCCGGUUAGCCUCUGGACCGAGCAGGAAAGGCCGUGGACACUAGUGACCAUUGAUAUUGAUUUUUAUUUUAUUUUAUUUUUGCCUUUGCAUAAACUAUAUAUAACGAUUGUGUAUUUAAGUUUUAGUUUCAUUUCAUCGCAAAAGGGAAAAAAAACAUUUUUUAAAAGCAUUGAUUGAUUCAAUGCCAUGUAAUUCACUAAUCAGAGGCUUAGUUACUGGCUUUUUCGUUUGCACAAGUCGUUAUACAUGUAAAGGUUUGAUUUUUCUUGUUAAUGGAAUACAAA
Molecule: small RNA, 581 nt
Filed under: Arabidopsis thaliana (thale cress)
Lineage: Eukaryota; Viridiplantae; Streptophyta; Magnoliopsida; Brassicales; Brassicaceae
Description: putative long intergenic non-coding RNA
Source: RNAcentral